This 301-nucleotide ribosomal RNA is filed under the name uncultured bacterium. Its description in RNAcentral is "partial 16S ribosomal RNA". It matches the Rfam family "Bacterial small subunit ribosomal RNA", at positions 509 to 807 of the family's 1533-position model. The record is from RNAcentral.
CAGCAGCCGCGGUAAUACGAAGGGUGCAAGCGUUGUCCGGAUUUAUUGGGUUUAAAGGGUGCGUAGGUGGCUUUAUAAGUCAGUGGUGAAAUACAGCCGCUCAACGGUUGAGGUGCCAUUGAUACUGUAGAGCUUGAAACAAGUGGAGGCUGCCGGAAUGGAUGGUGUAGCGGUGAAAUGCAUAGAUAUCAUCCAGAACACCGAUUGCGAAGGCAGGUGGCUACGUUUGAUUUGACACUGAGACACGAAAGCAUGGGGAGCAAACAGGAUUAGAUACCCGGGUAGUCCCUGUCUCUUAUAC